RNAcentral lists this ribosomal RNA (253 nucleotides) under uncultured bacterium. Its description in RNAcentral is "partial 16S ribosomal RNA". It matches the Rfam family "Bacterial small subunit ribosomal RNA", at positions 524 to 776 of the family's 1533-position model. The record is from RNAcentral.
GACAGAGGGUGCAAACGUUGUUCGGAAUUACUGGGCGUAAAGGGCUCGUAGGUGGCCAACUAAGUCGGACGUGAAAUCCCUCAGCUUAACUGGGGAACUGCAUCCGAUACUGGAUGGCUUGAGUUUGGGAGAGGGAUGCGGAAUUCCAGGUGUAGCGGUGAAAUGCGUAGAUAUCUGGAGGAACACCGGUGGCGAAGGCGGCAUCCUGGACCAACACUGACACUGAGGAGCGAAAGCCAGGGGAGCAAACGGG